ACGAUAAGACCCUAUAGAAUUUUAUAUCGCUAUGUUUUAAUACUUAAUAUAAAACACGUAUCGAUAUUUGGUUGGGAGGACUAUUAAAUUUAGAAAACUUUAAUUUUGGAAGACUUUGAUUCAAGAAAAUUUUAACGAUCUUUAAAUUAAAAUAUUCAGAUUAAAUUACCUUAGGGAUAACAGCGUUAUACUUUUUUAUAGGUCAUAUAGAAAAAAGUGAUUGCGACCUCGAUGUUGAAUUAAGAUAAAUUUUAAACGCAGGAGUUUAAUAAUUAAGUCUGUUCGACUUUUAACAAA
Molecule: ribosomal RNA, 297 nt
Filed under: Tetragonula sirindhornae
Lineage: Eukaryota; Metazoa; Arthropoda; Insecta; Hymenoptera; Apidae
Description: partial large subunit ribosomal RNA
Source: RNAcentral